AUGCACGCUGGCGGCGUGCCUCAUCCCUGCAAGUCGCGCGCACAGACGAGGAGCUUGCUCCUCUGACGUUAGCGGCGGACGGGUGAGUAACACGUGGAUAACCUACCUAUAAGACUGGGAUAACUUCGGGAAACCGGAGCUAAUACCGGAUAAUAUAUUGAACCGCAUGGUUCAAUAGUGAAAGACGGUUUUGCUGUCACUUAUAGAUGGAUCCGCGCCGCAUUAGCUAGUUGGUAAGGUAACGGCUUACCAAGGCAACGAUGCGUAGCCGACCUGAGAGGGUGAUCGGCCACACUGGAACUGAGACACGGUCCAGACUCCUACGGGAGGCAGCAGUAGGGAAUCUUCCGCAAUGGGCGAAAGCCUGACGGAGCAACGCCGCGUGAGUGAUGAAGGUCUUCGGAUCGUAAAACUCUGUUAUUAGGGAAGAACAAAUGUGUAAGUAACUAUGCACGUCUUGACGGUACCUAAUCAGAAAGCCACGGCUAACUACGUG
This 496-nucleotide ribosomal RNA is filed under the name uncultured bacterium. RNAcentral describes it as "partial 16S ribosomal RNA". It matches the Rfam family "Bacterial small subunit ribosomal RNA", at positions 29 to 507 of the family's 1533-position model. The record is from RNAcentral.